ACUCAAAUGAAUUGACGGGGGCCCGCACAAGCAGCGGAGCAUGUGGUUUAAUUCGACGAGACGCGAAGAACCUUACCUGGGCUUGACAUGUCUCUGACCGGUGUGGAAACACAUCUUCCCUUCGGGGCAGAGUCACAGGUGGUGCAUGGCUGUCGUCAGCUCGUGUCGUGAGAUGUUGGGUUAAGUCCCGCAACGAGCGCAACCCCCGUCGUAUGUUGCCAGCAUUUAGUUGGGGACUCAUACGAGACUGCCGGUGACAAACCGGAGGAAGGUGGGGAUGACGUCAAGUCAUCAUGCCCCUUAUGUCCAGGGCUACACACGUGCUACAUUGGCCGGUACAAAGGGUUGCGAUACCGCGAGGUGGAGCGAAUCCCAUAAAGCCGGUCUCGGUUCGGAUUGGAGGCUGAAACUCGCCUCCAUGAAGGUGGAGUUGCUAGUAAUCCCGGAUCAGCAACGCCGGGGUGAAUACGUUCCCGGGCCUUGUACACACCGCCCGU
This 497-nucleotide ribosomal RNA is filed under the name uncultured bacterium. RNAcentral's name for it is "partial 16S ribosomal RNA". It matches the Rfam family "Bacterial small subunit ribosomal RNA", at positions 899 to 1397 of the family's 1533-position model. The record is from RNAcentral.